This 403-nucleotide ribosomal RNA is filed under the name uncultured bacterium. Its description in RNAcentral is "partial 16S ribosomal RNA". It matches the Rfam family "Bacterial small subunit ribosomal RNA", at positions 29 to 526 of the family's 1533-position model. The record is from RNAcentral.
AUUGAACGCUGGCGGCAGGCCUAACACAUGCAAGUCGAGCGAGCGGAGGACGGGUGAGUAAUGUAUGGGGACUGCCCGAUAGAGGGGGAUAACUACUGGAAACGGUGGCUAAUACCGCAUACUAUCGGAUCACCCAUAUGGGCUUAGCUAGUAGGUGGGGUAAAGGCUCCCCUAGGCGACGAUCUCUCGCUGGUCUGAGAGGGUGGUCAGCGACCAGGGGCGUGAGACACGGCCCAGAGGCCUACGGAGGGAGCAGUGGGGAAUAGGGCGCAAUGGGCGCAAGCCUGAUGCAGCCAUGCCGCGUGUAUGGAGAAGGCCUUAGGGUUGUAAAGUACUUUCAGCGGGUAGGCGUUACCCGCAGAAGAAGCACCGGCUAACUCCGUGCCAGCGGCCGCGGUAAUUC